UACGGAGGGGGCUAGCGUUGUUCGGAAUUACUGGGCGUAAAGCGCACGUAGGCGGAUUGGAAAGUUGGGGGUGAAAUCCCGGGGCUCAACCCCGGAACUGCCUUCAAAACUCCCAGUCUGGAGGUCGAGAGAGGUGAGUGGAAUUCCGAGUGUAGAGGUGAAAUUCGUAGAUAUCAGGAAGAACACCAAUGGCGAAGGCAGCUCUCUGGGACGGUACUGACGCUGAGACGCGAAAGCGUGGGGAGCGAACAGG
This 253-nucleotide ribosomal RNA is filed under the name uncultured bacterium. RNAcentral describes it as "partial 16S ribosomal RNA". It matches the Rfam family "Bacterial small subunit ribosomal RNA", at positions 524 to 776 of the family's 1533-position model. The record is from RNAcentral.